UUAGUGUAAAGUUCAGUGUGAAUAUCAGUGUAAAGUUCAGUGUAAAGUUCAGCGAAAAUAUCAGUGUAAAAAUCAGUGUAAAGUUCAGUGUAAAUAUCAGUUUAAAGGUCAGUGUAAAGCUCAGUGUAAAUAUCAGUGUUAAGUUCAGUAUAAAGUUCAGUAUAAAGUUCAGUGUAAAUAUCAGUUUAAAGAUCAGUGUAAAGUUCAUUGUAAAUAUCAGUGUAAAGUUCAGUGUAAAUAUCAGUGUAAAUAUCAGUGUAAAGUUCAGUGUAAAUAUGUCAUAUUCAGUGUAAAGUUCAGUGUAAAGUUCAGUGUAAAGUUCAGUGAUCUUUAAUCUGAUAUUUUUACACUGAACUUUACACUAGUAAAGAUCAGUAUAAAUAUCAGUGUAGUGUUCAGUGUAAAUAUCAGUGUUAAGUUUAGUGUAACGUUCAGUGUGAAUAUCAGUGUAAAGUUCAGUGUAAAUAUCAGUGUAAAAUUCAGUGGAAAGUUCUGUGUAAAUAUCAGUUUAAAGUUCAGUGUAAAUAUCAGUGAAAACAUCAGUGUAAAGUUCAGUAUAAAAAUCAGUGUAAAUAUCAGUGUAAAGUUCAGUGUAAAGAUCAGUAUAAAUAUCAGUGUAGUGUUCAGCGUAAAUAUCAGUGUUAAGUUUAGUGUAACGUUCAGUGUGAAUAUCAGUGUAAAGUUCAGUGUAAAUAUCAGUGUAAAACUCAGUGUAAAUAUCAGUGUAAUAUAUCAGUGUAAAGCUCAGUGUAAAGCUCAGUGUAAAUAUCAGUGUAAUAUAUCAGUGUUAAGUUCAGUGUAAAUAGUGUAAAGUUCAGUGUAAAUAUCAGUUUAAAGUUCAGUGUAAAGUUCAGUGUAAAGUUCAGUGUAAAUAUCAGUGUAAAAUUCAGUGUAAAGUUCAGUGUAAAUAUCAGUGUAAAAUUCAGUGUUAAGUUCAGUGUAAAAUUCAGUGUUAAGUUCAGUGUAACGUUCAGUGUGAAUAUCAGUGUAAAAUUCAAUGUAAAUAUCAGUUUAAAGUUCAGUGUAAAGUUCAGUGUAAAGUUCUGUGUAAAGUUCUGUGUAAAGUUCUGUGUAACGUUCAGUGUAAAGUUCAGUGUAAAGAUCAGUGUAAAUCUCAGUGUAAAGCUCAGUGUUAAGUUCAGUGUAAAUAGUGUAAAGUUCAGUGUAAAUAUCAGUGUAAAAUUCAGUGUAAAUAUCAGUUUAAAGUUCAGUGUAAAUAUCAGUGUUAAGUUCAGUGUAAAUAUCAGUGUAAAUAUCAGUGUAAAUAUCUGUGUUAAGUUCAGUGUAAAGUUCAGUGUAAAGUUCAGUUUAAAGAUCAGUGUAAAGUUCAGUGUAAAGCUCAGUGUAAAUAUCAGUGUUAAGUAAAGUGUAAAUAUCAGUGUAAAAUUCAAUGUAAAGUUCAGUGUGAAAAAUUCAGUUUAAAGUUCAGUGUAAAUAUCAGUGUAAAAUUCAGUGUUAAGUUCAAUGUAAAGUUCAGUGUGAAAAAUUCAGUGUAAUGUUCAGUGUAAGUUCAGUGUAAAGUUCAGUGUAAAUAUCAGUGCAAAAUUCAGUGUAAAGUUCAGUGUGAAAAAUUCAGUGUAAAGUUCAGUGAAAAUUCAGUGCAAAGUUCAGUGUAACAUUCAGUGUAAAGUUCAGCUGUGUUCCUUACAGCAGGGGUGUC
This is a long non-coding RNA of Ictalurus punctatus (channel catfish), 1660 nucleotides long. NCBI's taxonomy places the organism in Eukaryota, Metazoa, Chordata, Actinopteri, Siluriformes, Ictaluridae. The record is from Ensembl.